This 412-nucleotide ribosomal RNA is filed under the name uncultured bacterium. RNAcentral's name for it is "bacterial SSU rRNA". It matches the Rfam family "Bacterial small subunit ribosomal RNA", at positions 29 to 440 of the family's 1533-position model. The record is from RNAcentral.
AUGAACGCUGGCGGCGUGCUUAAGACAUGCAAGUCGUACGUGAAAGUCCGUCAAGGAUGAGUAAAGUGGCGCACGGGUGAGUAAUACUUAGGUAACGUACCCUCUCGCUGGGGAUAACCAGGCGAAAGCUUGGCUAAUACCGAAUAAUUCGACUAUGACUCCGGUCGUGGUCGACAAAGUCGUAAGGCGCGAGGGGAUCGGCUUAAGUCCCAUUAGCUUGUUGGUAGGGUAAUGGCCUACCAAGGCAUCGAUGGGUAGCUGGUCUGAGAGGAUGAUCAGCCACACUGGUACUGGAACACGGACCAGACUCCUACGGGAGGCAGCAGUUAGGAAUCUUGCGCAAUGGGAGAAAUCCUGACGCAGCAACGCCGCGUGAGGGACGACGGCCUUCGGGUUGUAAACCUCUUUUAGC